RNAcentral lists this long non-coding RNA (7924 nucleotides) under Sus scrofa (pig). Its description in RNAcentral is "lncRNA (ENSSSCG00065006029.1)". Lineage: Eukaryota; Metazoa; Chordata; Mammalia; Artiodactyla; Suidae. The record is from RNAcentral.
UAUUAGAAGAAAGACCUAAGUCUGCAUUUUGCAGGUUACCCCAUUCCCUCACCCAACCUGUUUCAGUUAGCAUUAGUGAGAAAAGCUGUUAAUAGGCAUACCCUAUAAAGCUUUUAAAAUUCAAGGAUAACAAAAUCUUGCUGGAUUCUAGAUAGAAAAAAAUAAGUUGUGAAGGAAAAAAAAAAAAAAAAAAAAAAAAAAAAACCAGGCUGAGAUUGAAUUUCCUGCGUCCAACUUUGGAGACUAGAAGAUGGUAGGAUAAUGUCAAAGGGCUAGUGAGAGAAUUACACCCUGUGAAUCCUGUACUAGGCUAGGCUAUCAGUCACUUUCAAAGAGAGAGAUAUUUAUAGAUAUUUGGGGAGUCAGAGAUUAGGGAUGUCUUGAGAAAAUAUGCUAACCAACAAAAGGGUUUCAGCAGUGACUAGGAUAUGGGGAGAUAAAAAAUAGGAGAAAUAGUGGUUAGCAAUGAACUUGGCAGUAUACACAUGGUCCAGUCUCACUGGAUAAAGGAGGACUAAAGGAAAAUGCUUACGGUAGGUUCUAAAGAAAUAUUUUUUUUUCUUGACCUUCCAACUUGAAAAUUUUCAAAAUAAAAAUUCGACUUUUACCUAGAGUCAUCAAUUUCUCUUGCAGUGUAUCUCUUCUAAUUCAGGAAUAGUGGUUAUUUAGAAAUGGCUGACUCUAGGGCAGGAAAAAUAGAAGGUGAGCUUGCAUUGUUUUAACAUGAAAGAAAGCAAGGAAAUGCGCUAAGAUGAAUAGAGACAUUUCAAAAGGGCAGAGAGUGUAGUGUGUAAAGGAGAUUAAUUGGAAAAAACACUUAUAAGGUGGGUGAACAAAGCAGGAUUGGAAGAGGGAGAAGUUGAACUCUGAUUCAGUUAAUUUUCCUUGUUGUGACUUCUGGACCUGACAUGUGUCUUCAGAGUUGUCCUGAAUUGAGGCAAGCAGGCUGGCCCUUGUUCCCCUCAUGGUUUAGUCAUUUGAUUUGGACUUUCCCUGGAAAGGGGGCAGGCAUAUCCUUGGGAGAGGAAGCUCUCUUUAAUUGAGGGCACUUUCUGGAGAGAUGCCAGUUGUGAGCUGCCUUGUACAGCUUUCUUUCACCUGAGAAUGAAUGCCUUGGUCCUGAAUAAAGUCCCGAGCAGUGCAUUCCAACAAUCCUUACUAUCCUCCAUUUGCUUCAUUUAAUAAGUUCACGCCAUCUGGCGAUAGCUCCUCUAGGAUUAUGGUUGGUCUCUUUCUAGAAAUAUAAGAGGAAGGUAAGGAGGACUUACCUCAGUCUUUUUCACUACAGCUUGAGGUCAAAACUAAUAUUCAUUAUAUUCCUCUGCUACCAGUUCUAGAUUUCCUCUUACCCGUGGCUGACACCUCUGCUGGUCUGGGCAGAUUACUUGAGGUCAUUGAGUCCUUCAUACCUGGGAGGUUCUGAGGCCCAGUUCCCUUGCUCACCAUAAUCUCUGAGCUAUGGCUCUUGCAUUUGUCUGUUUGUUGUCAGAACUGGGCAAAGGAGUAUGAAGAGAUAGAUACCUUUCAUAUAUGCCCUUAACAUGGCAAACAUGUUUGUCAUGUGAGUGAUAAAAAAUAUUCUUCCCUGCACUUGUGUGACAGAAGCCCUAUGUUUUCCUGAUGACCAAGGUCAAUUAAUCCUGCCAGAUUGGUGACUCCUUUCCCUCCCCUCUGGUUUCUUGGCCCAGAGUACUUGAAAUGACCAGGUAGCAGUUGUAACUAAAAGUUUAAUGGGCUGUGUUACUUGGUGAGAAUAAGACCUCUAGAUUCAUAGAACCUAGCAUUGCAGGGAAGGGAAAUAAUAAAUUUCUAAAUGGGUCAUUGGUAAGGAUGGCAAUUGAGGCCAUUUCUGCUCUCUCCCCUUUGUUUCCUGCCUGUAUGUAUGUUACUUAUUACAGAUGCAUUAUCGUAAUGGUUAUGAUUUAGGGUAUAACUGCAUCCUGGAGGGUGUCCUAUCUUAAUAUGGUAUCAUCUCCAAGGGGGUACCUUAACUAUGCCUUCAGAAUGCUCUUCCAUUGCUCUCAGACUGGCAGCCUCUGAAUGUUGUGGUAUGUGAUAGGACCAGUGGACUCAAUGGUCUGUGCUCAUAGCUCCUUUGCUAUAAAGAGGAGUCUUUGGUCUCUUAAUGUUAUGUAAGAUAUAAAGUGAACCAGAAACAUUGUUAGGUCUCAGAUAGGUACUGGUUAUUGCCUUGUGGUGAGGAAAGGCAAAUCCAUGCCUGUAAUAUGUGUUGAUUCUAGUCAGCGUGAAUCACUGUCCCUUUGAAAGUGGAAAGGGUCCAGUGUAACAAGUUUACACUGUCUGGUUGAUCUCUUGAGCGAAUAUGCCAUAUUUGGGGCUUGGCCUUGGUCUCUGUUACUGGGAGAUUGGAUAAUCUGUUGUAGCAGUUGGCUAAGUCAACUUUGGUGAGAGGGAGCCCAUACUCUUGGGCCCAUAUAUAGCCUCUGUUCUGCCACCAUGGCUACCUUGUUCAUUAUGCCAGCACUAAAGUGGUCAAUGGCAGAAGUUGGAUGAUGUCAGCUGGUUAGUAUUCUGUAUACAUGGUUGUUUUUUGCCUCUUUCAUGAGAUUUUCUCUGAUGGAUAUUAACAUAUGAUACAGGGAUCCUCCUACUUUUGUCCACUUCCACAGAGCUAUGCUCAUGACCUGUUGCCAGGAAAACCAGUGAAGAGACUUUGUAAUCUUUUAGGUGAAAUGAAAGAGGCCCUGAGCCAGCAGAGUGGCAGUGAGAAUAUAAAUAAAUAUAUCUGAGCAGUUUCUCAGGUUUGGCUUGUGACAUUUGGGAGACUCCAAAGUUUUCAAUCUGAUUGAUUGGGAAAAUCAGCAGUUCAUUUUGAGGCAAGGGAUUUAGGAAAAAGUUGGUCUGUAUAUGGGACAGAUACAUUUUGUUUUAGAAACCCUGAUGUGGAACUCAAGAAGGAGGUUAGAAUUAGAGAAAAACACAGAGCCAUGUCACAACCCAGAAUUGCAGGGGAAAUUUUAUUUGCUAUCACUACUCUAAUUCACCUUCUAGAAUCCUCAAUUUGCUGGUUAUUGUGGGAUUGGGAAUGCAAGGGAAAAAACAAAUACCAGCAGCAGAAAAUACAAGGAAAUUGGUCAAUCAGGUUUAAAACUUAAGCUCAUAUAAGAAUUUAAACAUUUCUUUUCAGUCAGUAGUGUUUAGUGUCUUAGUAUUAACUGAUGAGAGUCUCAGCUUCUCUAAGAUGGCAUCUGAGUUUGUGGUGGAGGGCCGGCUUCUGUGAUUUUAUGGCUUGAAAAAGGCAGGGCUCUCAGAUUCCCAUAUUGUCUCAAGGUUCCUCUGGUCACUCUGGUGAUGUCCUUUGUUGGUGGUUACUCUCCCUGCCAGCGUUUGGACUCCUCUCCUGCAAUUUUGUCAGAAACUAGUGAUGUUUCCUGACUGACAAGGCCUCUGCUGUUAGAGACCCCUCUGAAAUCUGGCUGUGAGUUGGAGUCAUUUCAGCUCAGGUUGGCCCACUAUGAGCCAUGAUCCUUAGCUGGCAAUCUCCCUAGCUAGAUACUCUGGGACUAACCUGUGCCAACUUGGGAAGGCUAAGCUCAGAUCCUUUAUCUGACAAGGCUCAAUUACAAAUUUUUUGCCACUGUAUUUUGAUAACUUUCUCAUUUAUUUACCUUUUAAUUAGUUUAGUAUUGGUCAUUGCCCACCCUUCCCCUCUAAUAUACAUGUACACUAGAAUAUCAACUCAUGAUAAUGGUAUCUUGUCAGUCCUGUUGAUCGCUGAAUCACAAGCUACAGGGAAAGCACCUGUCACAUGGUUGGCCCUUAAUAGAGUUUUUGUAAGUCAAUAAAGGGCAGAAAUAAUAGAAGAAAUCCUCAAAGAGAAGUAUGUCAAGUACGAACAAGAUGAAGAUUAAACUGUUGAGUACAUCUUCUACCUUCUAUUUUAGAGGUAGACAUUAUAAGAGGUUCCAGGGAAGGAGACUGAGAAGAACUGAUCAAAAGAAGUGUGAAGAUGAAGUGCAGGAGAUUGGGAGAAGCAUGUAUGUUUAUAAGUAGUAUAAAGAGAUGAGUCUGAGAAAACUCAGAUCUCAGGGAAUUAUGCCAUGAAAGGGAAAAUAGAAUUGUGGCACUAGGUAAAAUCUUUUAUGAAGGUUGAUGGUAAAGGUAAGGAGUUAGGGCAUAUCACUGGGCUCUUCAGGAACAGGACUCAUGAAGGACUCUUUUCUUCCCAAGACAGAAGAAAGUUGGUGCUUUGAUAUGUGGGGAGGAACUGGUGGAGGGAAAGAGGGGGAAGACUGAAAACAGAGAUGGUUUAUGAAUUAAGGUCUCAGAACUUAACUGGGAAAGGAUGAGAUCAACCUUAGAAUGGAAGACAGGAAGAAUGAAUGGAAAAUAGACGAUCUGAGGCAAAUGGGAAGUACAUAUUUUGCUUAGUAAAAUAGGUGUCCCGGUUAUCUGCCAAGAGUGUAUGUACACAAGUCCUCCACCUCCCACACUUCUUUUCUACUUUCUUUGACCUUUUCUUGGCAAAAGAUAAGCAACCAUGCUUCUUGGAAGAACAAGAGCUCUUUAGUUCUUGUUCAGACUUGGAUAAGAGACUUAGUUGCACAGAAUUGCAACUGGAGUUGCACAGAAUUGAUAUGAGGGUCUCAAUAGAUCUCAGACUCAACUCUGUUUAUGAUCCCGAGUUAUGUAACUAAUAUGAGUAAUUCAAAUAAUGCAAGUUUCGGAUUCUUUUCUACCUUAGACAUUCUGACUCAUUAUCAAAUAAAUAAAAUUUAUUUACUCUGAAUGUUUCCUUUUAGUUGGUCUUCUUAACUGAUGUGAGAGUCCAUCAAUACCUUGUUUUAGUUAUCCUAUGAAAAUGAAGAGUUUAUGGAUUAUAUGCUGAUGGGAAAAUUACCUGCUGAAGUAAAUAACUUCAUACUUGUUUUUUAUUCUACUGAUUUCAUGUAUAUGAAUUAAAAAAAUUUUUUUGGACAUUGUAAAAGCACAUAUGAAGUACAUAAUGUGCAUAUCUGGUGUUAAAAUACUUUUUAAAAUUACUUGAAUUAAUAAAGUUUAUAUGGAGUGAUAUUUGCUUUGCCCAUGUUUUUUUGACUGUUGUUCAUCUAUUCAUUUACCAUUUCCUUACUGGCUAAAUGCGUAGGUUCUGUUCUAGGUGGUGAGAAUAUAAAUGCACGAAAGAUUCAGUCCCUGAAUUUGAAGGAGUUUAUGGUCUGGUUAUAGAAGACAUACUGUAAUAACAUAAACACAAUAAUAUAUUGUAUGUGCUAAGAAAGAAAUAUGUACAGGAUGGAGUAGGGCCCAAAGGAGUGAGUGGUCAGUUUCUGCCUCAGAAGAAUGGGAACCUGUUGUCAAGAAAGGUUUUACUGAUGAAAUGUGCCUGAAUCUUGAAAGGUAAGAGUAUUUUUGUUAAGUUUGCCUUUAGAUGAUGUGAAGUCUUUGAGGACAAAGAAUCUCAUACACGUUUGUGUUCUGGACCAAAGGAAGAAUUUGCCAGUAAAUGAAUUGUUUCCAAACAGUUCCAAAUUUACUAUUAUAAAGGUAUUUCUUUAAAAUACCAGUAGGUGGCAGUAUUACUCCAUAUAAAAAGACUGAUGACCAAACAGUGGAAGUGAUUUUCCUGAAUUUCCAAACCUGGUAAUGAGGGUGUUCUGGGUUAAAAAUGGAUGAGAAAAAGUGAGUUUGAAAAUUUUUCUUGGCAGACCAGUUUUUCCUUGAAUAAACCAAUGUCUGAACCCCUUCACACCCUCUUUCCACUCACCCUGAACUCCAGAGAUCUGCAUAAAAUUGACUUGGACACUUCUCAUUCAAGGCCUGUGGAAGUCUGAAGCCCUUUUAAAGAUUUCUACAAUACCUUGACCCAGAAACAAAACUGAGCUCCCUGCUUGAUGUACACUAAAAGCCCAUUCACAUGAAAUAUUCGUAAGUUUAAGAUCUUUUAGUGAAGAUUUGGGGAAAGGAUAACAGCAGAGUUUUACACAGCAGCAGUACAGACAAGUGCAAAUGAAUCAGGCAGCUUCCCAGGUCACAGAAUGUUCUUUGGCCUCCCACCAUCAUGGAGUUUGACCUAAUUCUUUUGUUUCAGCCUUAUCUGGUUGGCUCCUCUUUUUGCCUUCUUGAUCCUGGAGCUUCAAAUUCUUCCCCUUCUCUCCCUCUCCUCCUUCCACUUCCCCUGUCUCCUCUCCUGGCUUCCUCCUGACCCUCUCUCCUUUCCUCUUCCUUGGUCUUCCACUGACAAACCCACCAAGGUGCUCUGCAGUAGAGGGCCUUUUACUCUUUGUGAUCCCCCCACUUCCUUGAAGGCAGUAAUUGUAUUUUUAUUUUUUGUCUUUUUAGGGCUGCACCAGUGGCAUAUGGAGGUUCCCAGGCUAGGGGUCGAAUUGGAGCUGUAGCCGUCAGCCUACGCCAGAGCCAUAGCAACAUGGGAUCUGAGAUGUGUCUGCAACCUACACCACAGCUCAAAGCAACACUGGAUCCUUAACCCACUGAGUGAGGCCAGGGAUCGAACCCACAUCCUCAUGGAUGCAAGUUGGGUUCGUUAGCCACUGAGCCAUGACAGGAACUCCCUGAUCAUGGUUUUUAGCUGGUGGUUGCAGGUUUUUCUUUCGCAGGGUGAUGUUAAGUGAUGUGAGCUCGAUAGGGUUCUCUGCUUCUCUCUCCAUCUUCCAUGUGCCUAGAAAAUAGACCCCGGUUUCUUUCAUGAUCUAUCAUAAUUUUAUUAUUUUUGGUUUUUUUUUUGAAGUUCUUUAUUUAUGCAAAUCAGUAUGGUCCCAGGAUUAGGGUGGAAAUUGUGAUUGGUCUGCUAUAGGGAACCAUUCUACCCCCUAUGAAAAUGUUCAAUAUAAAGAAUAUUUGAAAGAGGAGUUCCCGUCGUGGUGCAGUGGAAACGAAUUCGACUGGGAACCAUGAGGUUGCUGGUUCAAUCCCUGCCCUUGCUCAGUGGGUUAAGGGUCUGGCAUUGCUAUGAGCUGUGGUGUAGGUCACAGACACAGCUGGGAUAUGGUGUUGCUGUGGCUCUGGUGUAGGCCAGCAGCCGAGGCUCUGAUUCGACUCCUAGCCUGGGAACUUCCAUGUGCCAUGGGUUUGGUCCCCCCCCCAAAAGGACAUUUGAAAGAAUCGUUGAAUCUAUCACCUAGAGUCUAUGAUUGUUAACAUUUGGUUUUAUUUGCCUUUCAUUAAUCUAAUUUUUUGUUGUAUUUCAAACUAAGUUGCAGGCAAAAGUACAUUUCACUCCUAGACAUUUUAGCAUGCAUAUAAUUAACUAGAGAGUAGUUUUUACUUUCAGUUCUUUUUUUGUUUUUGAGGUAAAAUUUAUGUAAUAGUGGUAUUCAGUUAUUAAGUAUACUUUAGAUAAGUCUUGACUAAUGCAAAAACCAGGGUUAUCUAAACUCCUAUCAAGACAAGAGAAAAUUUCCAUAAAGCUUUCGUUUGUACUGAUAUUUACUUUACCAUUAAAAUUUUUUCUCAAUGGAGACCAUUCCUUCUCCCAUUCUCCCAUGCAGCUUACAGGGCACAGAGGAAGUAUCUGCAUGUUUCUUAUUCCCCGCUGUCUCUAAUCAGGUAUUGACCCAGUAUCAAUUCUUGGCAACUGAACUGGGAACUCUGUACCAAUCACUUAUACUAUCCUAUUUCCACCACUAACUAUCAUCUGGCAAGACAGUCUCCUCUGUUUUCUACUACCAUGAUGAUUCAGAGUCUUCUGCUCCAUCCUCAGGCACAGAAUUGCUCAGCCAUUACAAUUCUGAACUGAAAAAUUAAUGAAUUAAGUCAUUCUUGGCUGCAUUGGUGGCGUUUGGAAAUUUCUAUGCCAGGGAUCAAAUACGAGGUGCAGCUGUGACCUACACUGCAUCUGUGCAAGGCUGGAUCCUUCAAACCCUCUGCACUAAGCUGGGGAUUGAACCUGCACUACUGCAGAGACAAUGCUGGAUCCUUAACUCACUGCACCAUAGAGGGAACUCUC